UUUGGCCUCAAACAAGAUAGAAUUGCAAACUGAGGGGCUUAGAGCAAGGCAUGGAAAUUAGGAGACCACUAACCAUAAGGAGGAGGAUUGGCAAUGAGAUUAAUAGGUGAAAAAGCACCAAACCCAAUCAUAUAGACAUCCUCAAAAGGCUUAGGAUUAUGUAUGGGGAGAAGCGCGAGUUUCCCGCCACUUUCGAGGACAUGGGAGUCUCGGUUCCGCUACGCACCUGCGGUAGGCGGGGACAUGGGAGCCCCGUCUAAGCCGGUGAGGACGCGGGUGCUGCCGCCAUUUGGACCACUCCGUGGAACUAAAACAUUUUUUAUAUUACAUAGUUUACAUAUUUCAGAUUACAUAGUUUAUUUUUUUCAGAACUGAACUAUUUAGGUUCCGAUUGCUAUCUUCUACUUUUCGUAUAUUCUUAUUUGAAGUUCACAUCUUUGCCAUGUUCAGUUGGACAAUGCCUACACCUAUUAUAAGUCCUUUCAAGUUCACACAAGAAAUUAGACA
Non-coding RNA from Triticum urartu, 507 nucleotides. The record is from RefSeq and is a predicted model, not a curated record. Lineage: Eukaryota; Viridiplantae; Streptophyta; Magnoliopsida; Poales; Poaceae.